RNAcentral lists this transfer RNA (76 nucleotides) under Oscillospiraceae bacterium. RNAcentral describes it as "tRNA-Thr". It matches the Rfam family "tRNA". Rfam says of the family: Transfer RNA (tRNA) molecules are approximately 80 nucleotides in length. Their secondary structure includes four short double-helical elements and three loops (D, anti-codon, and T loops). Lineage: Bacteria; Bacillati; Bacillota; Clostridia; Eubacteriales; Oscillospiraceae. RNAcentral also lists the same sequence under 1 other name. The record is from RNAcentral.
GCUGGUAUAGCUCAGUUGGUAGAGCGACGCACUCGUAAUGCGUAGGGCAGGAGUUCAAGUCUCCUUACCAGCUCCA